CGCAUGGUGGGUGUUGGAAAGAUUUAUCGGUUUUGGAUGGACUCGCGGCCUAUCAGCUUGUUGGUGAGGUAAUGGCUCACCAAGGCGACGACGGGUAGCCGGCCUGAGAGGGUGACCGGCCACACUGGGACUGAGACACGGCCCAGACUCCUACGGGAGGCAGCAGUGGGGAAUAUUGCACAAUGGGCGCAAGCCUGAUGCAGCGACGCCGCGUGAGGGAUGACGGCCUUCGGGUUGUAAACCUCUUUCAGUAGGGAAGAAGCGAAAGUGACGGUACCUGCAGAAGAAGCACCGGCUAACUACGUGCCAGCAGCCGCGGUAAUACGUAGGGUGCGAGCGUUAUCCGGAAUUAUUGGGCGUAAAGAGCUCGUAGGCGGUUUGUCGCGUCUGUCGUGAAAGUCCGGGGCUUAACCCCGGAUCUGCGGUGGGUACGGGCAGACUAGAGUGCAGUAGGGGAGACUGGAAUUCCUGGUGUAGCGGUGGAAUGCGCAGAUAUCAGGAGGAACACCGAUGGCGAAGGCAGGUCUCUGGGCUGUAACUGACGCUGAGGAGCGAAAGCAUGGGGAGCGAACAGGAUUAGAUACCCUGGUAGUCCAUGCCGUAAACGUUGGGCACUAGGUGUGGGG
Molecule: ribosomal RNA, 626 nt
Filed under: Micrococcus luteus
Lineage: Bacteria; Bacillati; Actinomycetota; Actinomycetes; Micrococcales; Micrococcaceae
Description: bacterial SSU rRNA
Rfam family: Bacterial small subunit ribosomal RNA
Source: RNAcentral